Molecule: long non-coding RNA, 401 nt
Filed under: Cucumis sativus (cucumber)
Lineage: Eukaryota; Viridiplantae; Streptophyta; Magnoliopsida; Cucurbitales; Cucurbitaceae
Description: long non-coding RNA (CSAT_LNC002357)
Source: RNAcentral
CUUCUCAAUCCCAAUCCUCAACCUCCUCUGGCUCUACUGCUAGACCUGGCGUUGUCGCUCCUCGCGGCUCUGCGGCGGCCACUGCUGGCCUCCGUCGCCGCCGUCCUGGCUCUACUUCUGCCUCCGCCUCUACUGGACUCGUAGGCGGCGGAUCAAGCGGCGGCGGUAACAUGCUGAGAUUCUACACCGACGAUGCUCCAGGCUUAAAGAUUUCUCCCACCGUCGUCCUCGUUAUGAGCCUCUGCUUCAUCGGCUUCGUCACUGGCCUCCACGUCUUUGGUAAGCUCUACCGUGCACGAUCCGCCGCUGGUGUUUAAUUCUAUGCUGAGUUCGUUUACCGUGCCUUUUCCCUUCCCGAUCUUUUCGUUUCCUAGAUUAAAUGUUCAAGUUUCUCUGUAAAU